GCCUACGGGGGGCAGCAGUGGGGGAUAUUGCACAAUGGGGGCAACCCUGAUGCAGCGACGCCGCGUGAGCGAUGGAGUACUUCGGUAUGUAAAGCUCUGUCAGCAGGGAAGAGAAUGACGGUACCUGACCAAGAAGCCCCGGCUAAAUACGUGCCAGCAGCCGCGGUAAUACGUAUGGGGCAAGCGUUAUCCGGAUUUACUGGGUGUAAAGGGAGCGCAGGCGGUGCGGCAAGUCUGAUGUGAAAGCCCGGGGCUCAACCCCGGGACUGCAUUGGAAACUACCGAACUAGAGUGUCGGAGAGGUA
RNAcentral lists this ribosomal RNA (305 nucleotides) under uncultured bacterium. Its description in RNAcentral is "bacterial SSU rRNA". It matches the Rfam family "Bacterial small subunit ribosomal RNA", at positions 337 to 659 of the family's 1533-position model. The record is from RNAcentral.